ACUCUUCAAAUAAUAAUGUUUGCCUCUGUCUUAGGGUUUCUAUUGCCAUGAAAAGACACCAUGACCAUGACAACUCUUACAAGGAAAACAUUCAGAAUUUGAGUCCAUUAUCAUCAUGGCAGGGAUCGUGGAACUGGUUCCCUUCUCAGCGACAAGCACAGGCUACACACGCUUAGCAAACACCGUCUGGCAGCCAAGCAAGGUGAUGAUGUGUG
This 215-nucleotide long non-coding RNA is filed under the name Cricetulus griseus (Chinese hamster). RNAcentral's name for it is "lncRNA (ENSCGRG00000024241.1)". Lineage: Eukaryota; Metazoa; Chordata; Mammalia; Rodentia; Cricetidae. The record is from RNAcentral.